CAGAGACGGCAAGCGUUGUUCGGAUUCAUUGGGCGUAAAGGGUCCGUAGGCGGUCGGUUAAGUCGGAUGUGAAAUCUCGUGGCCUAACCACGAGCGGUCAUUCGAAACUAAUCGGCUAGAGGGCUGGAGAGGAGACUGGAAUUGUCGGUGUAGCGGUGAAAUGCGUAGAGAUCGACAAGAACACCGGUGGCGAAGGCGGGUCUCUGGACAGUUCCUGACGCUGAGGGACGAAAGCUAGGGGGAGCAAACGGGAUUAGAUACCCCGGUAGUCCUAGCCGUAAACUGUGCUCACUUGGCGUGCGGGGAGUCGACCCCCUGCGUGCCGAAGCUAACGCGAUAAGUGAGCCGCCUGGGAAGUACGAUCGCAAGGUUA
This 373-nucleotide ribosomal RNA is filed under the name uncultured organism. RNAcentral's name for it is "bacterial SSU rRNA". It matches the Rfam family "Bacterial small subunit ribosomal RNA", at positions 526 to 896 of the family's 1533-position model. The record is from RNAcentral.